RNAcentral lists this long non-coding RNA (759 nucleotides) under Daphnia pulex (common water flea). Its description in RNAcentral is "uncharacterized LOC124191975, transcript variant X2". Lineage: Eukaryota; Metazoa; Arthropoda; Branchiopoda; Diplostraca; Daphniidae. The record is from RNAcentral.
GAAUCAUGAUUGCUUGUUGUCGUCUGCCUUAUUGACUUAUUUCCGCGUGGCGUGCUUUAUUGAACUUGUUGGUUGGUUAAAAUGGUUAUGACCGAAGAAAAGAAACUUGAGUUGAUUUCUUUAUGACCAUUCCAUGAAAUAUUUGUUGUUAAGACUAUGUGAAAUGGAAAGAUUAGAAAAAAACGGACAUAGACAAACAAUAACAGAUUAUGCACACAUUAUGCAGGGAAAGGGAAUUUUUGACACAGACCUGUCAUUACAAAGUCCAAAACUACUUUAGCGUAAGGGCUGGAAGACCUGUCAAUUGAAGAAUGUCAAAAUUGUCGGAGAUAAAAAAAAGAAAACAGAAGAUGGAUGGUGACGUCUCUUACUAAAAGAUACAACACAGAAGAAUAUUGUUGAGUCUGGACCUUACCCCAACAAGGAUGGUGAAGGAGUCUUGUCCUGUCCUAUUUUCCAAUUGUUGACUCUCUAAAAAGAACAUCCCAAUGGAGAAGAACAUAUCUAAAAAGUUACAUGUCAGCAGUUUUCAGCUGCAAUGUUGUGGACAGAUCAAGCUGAAUUAUUCACAUCCAAAACAUCAAACAAAGAAAAAGUGAAUCAUAUAGUUGGAAAAUGUUUAGUGACUGUAUUCUAGGUAAUUGAAUUUGUACAAAUUUCUAUUUUCUAAGCUAAUAAAACUGUCUUUAUCUUUUGUGAUAACAAAUAAGCUAGGUGCAUUAUCUACGUUAUCUCCAAUAAAACCGAAUUAGGUCAAGA